GCAUCUUUAGCUCAGUGGUAGAGCAGCCGACUGCAGAUCGGCAGGUCUCCGGAUCAAACCCGGAAAGGUGCU
This 72-nucleotide transfer RNA is filed under the name Actinomortierella wolfii. Its description in RNAcentral is "tRNA-Cys". It matches the Rfam family "tRNA". Rfam says of the family: Transfer RNA (tRNA) molecules are approximately 80 nucleotides in length. Their secondary structure includes four short double-helical elements and three loops (D, anti-codon, and T loops). The record is from RNAcentral. Lineage: Eukaryota; Fungi; Mortierellomycota; Mortierellomycetes; Mortierellales; Mortierellaceae. RNAcentral also lists the same sequence under 1 other name.